GCCCGGGUGGCUCAGUUCGUUGAGCGUCUGACUUUGUUUGACUCAGGUCAUGAUUUUGUCGUGCGUGGGUUCGAGCCCCGCGUCGGGCU
RNAcentral lists this transfer RNA (89 nucleotides) under Felis catus (domestic cat). It matches the Rfam family "tRNA". Rfam says of the family: Transfer RNA (tRNA) molecules are approximately 80 nucleotides in length. Their secondary structure includes four short double-helical elements and three loops (D, anti-codon, and T loops). Further hydrogen bonds mediate the characteristic L-shaped molecular structure. tRNAs have two regions of fundamental functional importance: the anti-codon, which is responsible for specific mRNA codon recognition, and the 3' end, to which the tRNAs corresponding amino acid is attached (by aminoacyl-tRNA synthetases). tRNAs cope with the degeneracy of the genetic code in two manners: having more than one tRNA (with a specific anti-codon) for a particular amino acid; and 'wobble' base-pairing, i.e. permitting non-standard base-pairing at the 3rd anti-codon position. Lineage: Eukaryota; Metazoa; Chordata; Mammalia; Carnivora; Felidae. The record is from Rfam by way of RNAcentral.